AAGCACAGAACAGCAGUUGUAAACUCCAAUCGUUUUUGUUGCUAAUGUUUUCAAAGCCAAUGGCGUCCUCCUCAGGCUAAGUUACAAAUGUUCUUAUAAUACUUUGAGAGUAAUGAAGUAAGUCGCACAGAGGACUGGGAAGAAAAUAGCUUACAAACGAUGCCCUACCUUAUUUAACAAGCUUCGAUGCAAUAAAGAUAGAGUAAAGGAAGAACAGAGAGUGGGAGUAUAUAGGAUCCCUAUUAGAAACAAUAUUACCAGAGAGGACCAGUCGUACAUCGGGAUGACAACCAGGCCCCUUAGUAGAAGGCCGAAAGAGCACAAACGUGACUUGUCAGAGAAGAAGGAUAUCACAUCUCUUGCAAAAACAGCAUGUGAGUAUAAUGUUGAAGUAGAGUGGACUGAUGCGAAAGUAGUUAGAGAAAUAGAGAAAGACAAGCAUGCAAUCCUUGCAGAGACCAUGGAGAUUUAUACUAGGAGUAAGAA
RNAcentral lists this long non-coding RNA (486 nucleotides) under Androctonus crassicauda. Lineage: Eukaryota; Metazoa; Arthropoda; Arachnida; Scorpiones; Buthidae. The record is from RNAcentral.